CGGACUGCAGUCUGCAACUCGACUGCACGAAGCUGGAAUCGCUAGUAAUCGCGGAUCAGCACGCCGCGGUGAAUACGUUCCCGGGCCUUGUACACACCGCCCGUCACACCAUGGAAGUCUGCAAUGCCCGAAGCCGGUGGCCUAACCACUUAUGUGGAAGGAGCCGUCUAAGGCAGGGCAGAUGACUGGGGUGAAGUCGUAACAAGGUAAC
RNAcentral lists this ribosomal RNA (211 nucleotides) under uncultured bacterium. RNAcentral describes it as "partial 16S ribosomal RNA". It matches the Rfam family "Bacterial small subunit ribosomal RNA", at positions 1294 to 1500 of the family's 1533-position model. The record is from RNAcentral.